This 253-nucleotide ribosomal RNA is filed under the name uncultured bacterium. Its description in RNAcentral is "partial 16S ribosomal RNA". It matches the Rfam family "Bacterial small subunit ribosomal RNA", at positions 524 to 776 of the family's 1533-position model. The record is from RNAcentral.
UACGGAGGGAGCUAGCGUUGUUCGGAUAUACUGGGCGUAAAGCGCACGUAGGCGGCGCAGCAAGUCAGGGGUGAAAUCCCGGAGCUCAACCCCGGAACUGCCCUCGAAACUAGGUAGCUAGAAUCUUGGAGAGGCGAGUGGAAUUCCGAGUGUAGAGGUGAAAUUCGUAGAUAUUCGGAAGAACACCAGUGGCGAAGGCGACUCGCUGGACAAGUAUUGACGCUGAGGUGCGAAAGCGUGGGGAGCAAACAGG